CACAUGCAAGUCGAACGGCAGCACGGGAGCAAUCCUGGUGGUGAGUGGCGAACGGGUGAGUAAUAUAUCGGAACGUGCCCAGUCGUGGGGGAUAACGCAGCGAAAGCUGUGCUAAUACCGCAUACGAUCUCUGGAUGAAAGCGGGGGACCUUCGGGCCUCGCGCGAUUGGAGCGGCCGAUAUCAGAUUAGCUAGUUGGUGGGGUAAAAGCUCACCAAGGCGACGAUCUGUAGCUGGUCUGAGAGGACGACCAGCCACACUGGAACUGAGACACGGUCCAGACUCCUACGGGAGGCAGCAGUGGGGAAUUUUGGACAAUGGGCGCAAGCCUGAUCCAGCAAUGCCGCGUGCAGGAUGAAGGCCUUCGGGUUGUAAACUGCUUUUGUACGGAACGAAACGG
Molecule: ribosomal RNA, 399 nt
Filed under: uncultured bacterium
Lineage: Bacteria
Description: bacterial SSU rRNA
Rfam family: Bacterial small subunit ribosomal RNA
Source: RNAcentral